This 480-nucleotide ribosomal RNA is filed under the name uncultured bacterium. RNAcentral's name for it is "partial 16S ribosomal RNA". It matches the Rfam family "Bacterial small subunit ribosomal RNA", at positions 28 to 523 of the family's 1533-position model. The record is from RNAcentral.
GACGAACGCUGGCGGCGUGCUCAACACAUGCAAGUCGAGCGGAAAGGCCCUUUCGGGGGUACUCGAGCGGCGAACGGGUGAGUAACACGUGAGUAAUCUGCCCCUGGCUUUGGGAUAGCCACCGGAAACGGUGAUUAAUACCGGAUACGACCACUUCUCGCAUGGGAUGGUGGUGGAAAGUUUUUCGGCCAGGGAUGUGCUCGCGGCCUAUCAGCUUGAUGGUGAGGUAAUGGCUCACCAUGGCUUCGACGGGUAGCCGGCCUGAGAGGGUGACCGGUCACACUGGGACUGAGGAACGGCCCAGACUCCUACGGGAGGCAGCAGUGGGGAAUAUUGGACAAUGGGCGGAAGCCUGAUCCAGCAACGCCGCGUGAGGGAUGACGGCCUUCGGGUUGUAAACCUCUUUCAGCAGGGACGAAGCGCAAGUGACGGUACCUGCAGAAGAAGCACCGGCCAACUACGUGCCAGCCGCCGCGGUAA